CACGCCCUCUCCGACUUCCACGGAUAGAUCCUCCACGUCCUCCGCGGCGUUUCUCGUCAAGGGCGUCGAAGAGGAGGCGUCGGUGAUUAUGCGAAUCCGGACGCGCAAAAACACACAUAUACCACACACGCGCGCGCACUCUCUCUCUCUCUCUCUCUCUCUCUUUCUUAUUGUCUCUUUUUUCUGUCUAUCUUUGGGAGAAAGAACACACAAAAAUCACCGGAGAAAGACGGGCGGAAAGAGAGAGGCGAGAGAUAUUCGGCUGUGCCCGCAGCUUACAAGAGGCAGGAUCGGAUUUUAGCGCGCGCAGCACGCGCUCCCGCGAGCUCAAGUCACGGCGGUUUCAACUUUUACUUUCAGCUCUUACACAACACGGCCCGCUCUUGCUGAUACGUAAGCGGCGAGCGUGCGGCGAGUCCUGGUCUCCGCUUCGAGGCUUCUUCUGCUUCUUCUUCCUCUUCUCUUUCUCUUCCUCAAUUUUCUCUUCUUGUCCCUUUCUUCCUUUUUUUUUCUCCGCUGCUCCUUUCUCACUUCCUUAUAUCUCUUCUUCGUUGACAAGCGUCAAUCAUCGCAAGAUCAGAAUGAACUUUCGAAAGACAGAGCUAAGUCUGACACGCAAGCUGGAACUGUCAAAAGUCUUUCGGACUUUCUUUUCUCGCAACUCUUCUCUCUUGGACGUCUUGGAAAGCACGUGCGCCGACGAAAACACGUGCGAACAAACACACGUGUCACACGGGUAGUAUCCUCAAAUAUGUCACUCGCAAAAAUGUCAAAAAUGACAAUACAACGAGACGCUCGUUCGAAAGGGUUCACAUUGAAAAAUCGUUCCGAUCACAAGUGACAAUAGGAGAUCCGAACGAGUUGAUCCCGCGGGAUGUCCGGAGAAAAGGAGACACUUAGAUCGCGUAGCACGUGUCCUCACGCGACGGACAGCGUGUGAGGAUGCUUGUUGUCGGUUUUACUCGUGAUAGCCUGUAACGCACUUCCGCGCUCGCACAGGCGGUGACACUCUCGAUUAGAACGACGUAUAUUUUCUGCAAGUAUGUUUACUGUCACUCUUUCUCUCUCUCUCUUUUUCUCUCUCUCUUUCUCUCUCCACCUCCCUCUUUUUUAGUUCUCUCUCUCUCUCUCUCUCUCUUUCUCUCUCUUUCGCUCCUCUUGUCAGAGGACUUCUUCAGGGAGAGAGGGUUCUCUUCCGGUCUCCGCGGUGUGUCUCACUGCUCUUCGCUCCGUCGUAACUUUUGCGCAAAGCCGGGACCCUCUCUCACUCUCUCUCUACCUAUCUCUUUCUCUCAAUCAAUCUCUCUUUCUCUCUCUUUCUUUCUCUCUCCCGUUCUCACUCUCCCCCUCGCGCGUUCGCGCUCCCUCUUUCUCUGUCUGGUCCUAGGUAAGCGCGAAGAGAGGUAGAGUCGGACGGUCGGCAGGAGGUGGUGGCGAUGGUGGUGGUUACCGGCACGUUGGUAGUGGUGGCACAUCAGCGAUACUCUAAUGUAUCCAAUGAGUGCAGCGACAUACGCCGGUAGUGGUGGUGUGGCGACGGUGACAGUGGUAGUUGUAGCGGCAGUGUGGCGGAUCGGUAGUGGUAGAGAGGAGGCCAGGUGGGCCCCUUGGGCUUACAAACAAAUUCAGAAAGGGUUGAGGGUCCGUAAAGCGCGUCUCUCUCCAUCGAGAACUCACGACGAUAUACUCUGCGUCCAGAAAGGAGGAGGCCGUACGAGUCCCAAUGCGACCGACGGCUAUACUUAGCGCGCCAGACGAAUCUCGUUCGAGGGCCGCGUGGAAAGGAGGUCGUGGAACAGCUGAUGCAGCGAGUCCCGUGUGACGGCGCCUUUACGCGGUCUUCCUCCUUCCCGCCUUUCGCGUCUUCAUCUGUAGAAAACAGCUGACGAAACGACGCUUGAAUCGCAAAAUUUAUUUGAUUCUUUUAAGACCUUUAUCCAGACGUCGUACACUUAACGAUGCACUUGGGAAUGUCCGACAUCAUAUCAUGUAUUCAUAACUUUGUUAAUUAAUUUUUUAGAUUUAUAAUAUCUGUGCACACAAAUAUCUGCUAAGGCACAUAAAUUACGCAUGACGAGUUUACAUUACUUAACGUAGUAAAUAAUUUAACAAACAUACGAGAAUAUGUAUUAGUGCGUGAUUAUUUUAGUAAAAAUAAUGUUUUAUAGUAAAGAAAUUUAAUUCAAUACAAUUGUAAAAUUCUUCGAUGUACGUAUAUCAAGUAUAGUUAAUAUAAAAGAAUCAAUAUAA
This is an RNA transcript of Formica exsecta, 2250 nucleotides long. RefSeq lists it as uncharacterized. The transcript is spliced from 2 exons. Lineage: Eukaryota; Metazoa; Arthropoda; Insecta; Hymenoptera; Formicidae. The record is from RefSeq and is a predicted model, not a curated record.